GUUUGAUCCUGGCUCAGAAUGAACGUUGGCGGCGUGGAUUAGGCAUGCAAGUCGUGCGGAGGUACCCGCAAGGGUACUCGAGCGGCGAAAGGGAUAGUAACGCGUGGACUACCAACCCUCGGGACUGGGAUAGCCCCGCCACAGCAAUGUGGCUCGGGAAACUGGGGUUAAUACCAGAUAACAUCUUCGGAUCAAAGGUGUGAUUCCGCCUGAGGACGGGUCCGCGUCCUAUUAGCUAGUUGGUGAGGUAACGGCUCACCAAGGCUGCGAUGGGUAGCGGGUGUGAGAGCACGACCCGCAUCACUGGGACUGAGACACUGCCCAGACACCUACGGGUGGCUGCAGUCGAGAAUCUUCGUCAAUUGGGCGAAAGCCUGAACGAGCGACGCCGCGUGCCGGGAUGAGGCCUUCGGGUUGUAAACCGCUGUCAGUGGGGAGGAAAUCUAUAGGGGUUCACCCCUAUAGUUGACCUAUCCGCAGAGGAAGUACGGCUAAGUUCGUGCCAGCAGCCGCGGUAACACGAACCGUACAAACGUUAUUCGGAAUUAUUGGGCUUAAAGGGUGCGUAGGCGGCUCAGUAAGUUGGGUGUGAAAGCCCUCGGCUUAACCGAGGAACUGCGCCCAAAACUACUGGGCUCGAGGGAGACAGAGGUGAGCGGAACUACGGGUGGAGCGGUGAAAUGCGUUGAUAUCCGUAGGAACACCAGGGGCGAAAGCGGCUCACUGGGUCUCUUCUGACGCUGAGGCACGAAAGCUAGGGGAGCGAACGGGAUUAGAUACCCCGGUAGUCCUAGCCGUAAACGAUGAGCACUGGGAUCGAAAGGGUACUCCAUAGCCUUUUGGUCGUAGCGAAAGUGUUAAGUGCUCCGCCUGGGGAUUAUGGUCGCAAGGCUGAAACUCAAAGGAAUUGACGGGGGCUCACACAAGCGGGUGGAGGAUGUGGCUUAAUUCGAGGCUACGCGAAGAACCUUAUCCUAGUCUUGACAUGCAUGGAUUAACUCUCUGAAAGGGGAGCCACGCCCCGCAAGGGUGGAACGUGCACAGGUGCCUGCAUGGCUGUCGUCAGCUCGUGUCGUGAGAAUGUUCGGUUAAGUCCCUUUAACGAAGCCGAAACCCUUGUGCGCCUAGUUUGUCCCACCGAGGUCAUGUCGGGGACUCUAGCGAGACUGCCGGUGUUAAACCGGAGGAAGGUGGGGAUGACGUCAAGUCCUCAUGGCCUUUAUGACUAGGGCCGCACACGUCCUACAAUGGCGUGAACAAAGGGAAGCAAACCUGCGAAGGCAAGCAAAUCCCAAAAAUCACGCCUCAGUUCGGAUUGUAGGCUGCAACUCGCCUACAUGAAGCCGGAAUCGCUAGUAAUCGCGGGUCAGCAUACCGCGGUGAAUGUGUUCCUG
RNAcentral lists this ribosomal RNA (1394 nucleotides) under uncultured bacterium. RNAcentral's name for it is "bacterial SSU rRNA". It matches the Rfam family "Bacterial small subunit ribosomal RNA", at positions 11 to 1376 of the family's 1533-position model. The record is from RNAcentral.